RNAcentral lists this long non-coding RNA (1871 nucleotides) under Homo sapiens (human). RNAcentral describes it as "HSALNT0400245". The record is from RNAcentral. Lineage: Eukaryota; Metazoa; Chordata; Mammalia; Primates; Hominidae.
CAUACACCCCCACCUCCUGCAAUAAAAUAGUAGCAUCGGCUCCCUCUGAGUUCUUGGCUGUCUGGGGAUGUGCACACAGGCAGGGUUUCCGCAGUUCCUUUAUGAAGCCUCCUUGUCCUGCUGGUGUGAAGAUGAGAGGAGUACCUGGGAGCUGACGCGGCCACAGCAAGGCCAUCAGGCAAGCUGCUGCUAUAGGAGUCCUGAGUCUCAGAGCAGGGAGAGCAGCCAGGGGCUGGGAAACAAGGCAUUGAGCCACAGCAGCCCCUGGUGAGGGGGUCAGGGAGAGGAGGGGCCCAAGCUGCUGCCCCCAGAAGCUGGGCUGGUGAUUUGGUCUGAGCUGCUGGUCAGACCAGGAGGAGGGAGCUGGCUGUGUCCAUAGACAGGGGCCAGGCCUCGGUGGAGCUCGCCAGGUCAUAGAUUCCAUCUGUGCUUGCAGAGUUGAGCAGACCCCAGGGACUGAGCUGCUCUCAUCAAAUCCCCUAGACACUAAAUAGUGAUCAAUGCGUGCUUCUUUCCAAGAGACUUAGGCCCCUACGUGGAAACAAAGUCCAAAAAGCCUGUCUGUGUAACUGAGCAGGAGAAACGCCAGCCAGACCAGAGACCAGCAAGAUCACAGAGAAAGUGGCACCUGCUGUCAUCCAUCCUGGGAGGCUGUGUCCUCCCAGAGUUUUACAGGCUCAUAGCCACCAGCCCUUUCUCUGGACUUGGAUUUAAAACAAGUUGUUAGUCCAGCUUCAUGGUAGGGAUGAAGUUAAAGCACAAAUGAGACCGACAAUGCAGUGGACUCUUCUUUUUCCAAGGAGGAUUAAGAGAGAACAUUCCCUUCAUGUCAGCAUUAUCCUAUAGAAUAGUGGAUCUUUGUGCCACAAGCAGGAGGCUACAGUCCUAAGACACAGCCCACCCUGCACAGUCCUUCCCUUUGCCAUUUUAGGACAGGGGUGCAGCCCUUACAGCCAGUGCUGCUGGGGCAGGCCUCCCAGGUACCUUCCAACCUCGGAGCUGCACUGACCCCCUCUUUUGGCUGCUGCCAUGAACACUGAAGGUGAAAUGAUGAAGGAAAAUCCACCCCAGUAGCGCCAAGGCCAGCACCCCACAUGCUGUCCCUGCAAAGUCAGAGCAGGGGACACGGCAGGGAGAGUGGGGAGCGUCUGCUUCCUUUUCCUCUCCACCCUGACUUGCUUUAACAGGGUCUUUGGGGUGAGGGAAGUGUAGCACCCCCUAGGAUGCCAUGAGCUGAGGAGAUUUGAGUCUGGGCCUCACCCUGCUGGGGGUGGGUGGUCUUAGUCACUCAGUUUUCUGUGGGGGGUUGGGGGAUAGAAGUGGUGGUUGUGGUCAGUGGUAAAGGGUCCCUGCAGGGAGGUGCUCCUGGUUUUCUACCUCGGUGAAGGAUCUUUGACACAGGCAACCUCCAUCCAGGCACCCAGUGGAAACGGACAGCUGACCAUAUAGCCCAGUGCCUUUUCUGACACACUUCUUCCUUGGGGAAGUUGAGGUUGGGGGCGGGCUGUGCACAGGGCUCCCCAGCCUCCCUGUGUGUCUGCUUCCUUCCCUGCCCUCCGCCCGGUGGCCCCAUGGCCCACAGCCCACAGGGAAGCAGGUUGGUGCCACCCCUGCCUCCCCUCCGCAGCCGGCGGGCCUGUAAAUGCCUCCCUUGGGCCCCCAUGAGGCCAGUGAGCCAGAAGCCCCUCUGACCCAGAGGUCACUGUGACCAGCACAUCCUGGAGAGGAGGCCUCGCCCUUGCACCUUUCAUCUGCAAGAGUUACUUUUACAUUUAUUUUAAAUGUUGAUUUAAGUAUAUACUUCAUCUACAGUUAUCCAUAUAAAUAGAUUCAUUACAGGGCCUGGCUCUGAAUAAACACAGUAAGUUGGA